This 120-nucleotide non-coding RNA is filed under the name Pseudomonadota bacterium. RNAcentral describes it as "Proteobacteria bacterium SAH sequence". It matches the Rfam family "SAH (S-adenosyl-L-homocysteine) riboswitch aptamer". The record is from RNAcentral. Lineage: Bacteria; Pseudomonadati; Pseudomonadota.
AUAACCGAGGAACGUUGCGAGGUUACGUUAGUUUUGAAAUAUCAAAAUGAUGUAAACCCUAGGCUCGGUUAGCAAUACUGGUGAAAUUAUCAUCAUUAUUGUAAACGGCGUUCACCUAAC